AACAUGGGCUUCUGUCAUAAUUGGCACACAUAGGGCAACUUGAUCGUUCAUGUGAAAUCGAUAUCAAGAGAUUCCGAAAGUAUAAUUUUUUGGUAUCUGGGCAGCUGGUGAUCAUUGGUCCUGGCACCUUG
This 131-nucleotide small nuclear RNA is filed under the name Carlito syrichta (Philippine tarsier). Its description in RNAcentral is "U11 spliceosomal RNA (ENSTSYG00000030442.1)". It matches the Rfam family "U11 spliceosomal RNA". Lineage: Eukaryota; Metazoa; Chordata; Mammalia; Primates; Tarsiidae. The record is from Rfam by way of RNAcentral.